AGGUAAGCUACUAAGAGCGAAUGGUGGAUGCCUUGACUGGUAAAGGCGAUGAAGGACGUACUAGACUGCGAUAAGCUACGGGGAGCUGUCAAGAAGCUUUGAUCCGUAGAUUUCCGAAUGGGGCAACCCAAUGUAUAGAGAUAUACAUUACCUAUAUAGGAGCGAACGAGGGGAAUUGAAACAUCUUAGUACCCUCAGGAAAAGAAAUCAAUAGAGAUUGCGUCAGUAGCGGCGAGCGAAAGCGCAAGAGGGCAAACCCAGUGCUUGCACUGGGGGUUGUAGGACUGCAAUGUGCAAGAGCUGAGUUUAGCAGAACAUUCUGGAAAGUAUAGCCAUAGAGGGUGAUAGUCCCGUAUGCGAAAAACAAAGCUUAGCUAGCAGUAUCCUGAGUAGGGCGGGACACGAGGAAUCCUGUCUGAAUCCGGGUCGACCACGAUCCAACCCUAAAUACUAAUACCAGAUCGAUAGUGCACAAGUACCGUGAGGGAAAGGUGAAAAGAACUGAGGUGAUCAGAGUGAAAUAGAACCUGAAACCAUUUGCUUACAAUCAUUCAGAGCACUAUGUAGCAAUACAGUGUGAUGGACUGCCUUUUGCAUAAUGAGCCUGCGAGUUGUGGUGUCUGGCAAGGUUAAGCAAACGCGAAGCCGUAGCGAAAGCGAGUCUGAAUAGGGCGCUUAGUCAGAUGCUGCAGACCCGAAACGAAGUGAUCUAUCCAUGAGCAAGUUGAAGCUAGUGUAAGAACUAGUGGAGGACUGAACCCAUAGGCGUUGAAAAGCCCCGGGAUGACUUGUGGAUAGGGGUGAAAGGCCAAUCAAACUUCGUGAUAGCUGGUUCUCUCCGAAAUAUAUUUAGGUAUAGCGUUGUGUCGUAAUAUAAGGGGGUAGAGCACUGAAUGGGCUAGGGCAUACACCAAUGUACCAAACCCUAUCAAACUCCGAAUACCUUAUAUGUAAUCACAGCAGUCAGGCGGCGAGUGAUAAAAUCCGUCGUCAAGAGGGAAACAACCCAGACUACCAGCUAAGGUCCCUAAAUCUUACUUAAGUGGAAAACGAUGUGAAGUUACUUAAACAACCAGGAGGUUGGCUUAGAAGCAGCCAUCCUUUAAAGAAAGCGUAAUAGCUCACUGGUCUAGUGAUUUUGCGCGGAAAAUAUAACGGGGCUAAAGUAAGUACCGAAGCUGUAGACUUAGUUUACUAAGUGGUAGGAGAGCGUUCUAUUUGCGUCGAAGGUAUACCGGUAAGGAGUGCUGGAGCGAAUAGAAGUGAGCAUGCAGGCAUGAGUAGCGAUAAUUAAUGUGAGAAUCAUUAACGCCGUAAACCCAAGGUUUCCUACGCGAUGCUCGUCAUCGUAGGGUUAGUCGGGUCCUAAGUCGAGUCCGAAAGGGGUAGACGAUGGCAAAUUGGUUAAUAU
RNAcentral lists this ribosomal RNA (1411 nucleotides) under Campylobacter jejuni. Its description in RNAcentral is "partial 23S ribosomal RNA". It matches the Rfam family "Bacterial large subunit ribosomal RNA", at positions 1 to 1436 of the family's 2925-position model. The record is from RNAcentral. Lineage: Bacteria; Pseudomonadati; Campylobacterota; Epsilonproteobacteria; Campylobacterales; Campylobacteraceae.